UACGAAGGGGGCUAGCGUUGCUCGGAAUGACUGGGCGUAAAGGGCGCGUAGGCGGCGCAGUCGGUCAGGCGUGAAAUUCCCGGGCUUAACCUGGGGGCUGCGCUUGAUACAGCUGUGCUUGAGUGCGGAAGAGGGUCGUGGAAUUCCCAGUGUAGAGGUGAAAUUCGUAGAUAUUGGGAAGAACACCGGUGGCGAAGGCGGCGACCUGGUCCGUGACUGACGCUGAGGCGCGAAAGCGUGGGGAG
RNAcentral lists this ribosomal RNA (245 nucleotides) under uncultured bacterium. RNAcentral's name for it is "partial 16S ribosomal RNA". It matches the Rfam family "Bacterial small subunit ribosomal RNA", at positions 524 to 768 of the family's 1533-position model. The record is from RNAcentral.